RNAcentral lists this ribosomal RNA (448 nucleotides) under Dermacentor nuttalli. RNAcentral describes it as "partial large subunit ribosomal RNA". The stretch from base 290 to 448 matches the Rfam family "Bacterial large subunit ribosomal RNA", at positions 2473 to 2631 of the family's 2925-position model. The record is from RNAcentral. Lineage: Eukaryota; Metazoa; Arthropoda; Arachnida; Ixodida; Ixodidae.
GAUUUGACUUACAAGGUAUUGUAAUAAGGUUUUAAUUGAAUGCUAAAAGAAUGGAAUUACAGGGAAAAGUUUUUUUAAAUUUAAUAAUUGAAGUUAUUUUAAUUUGUGAAGAAACAAUUAUAUAAAUUAAAGACAAGAAGACCCUAAGAAUUUAAGAAUUUUUAUUAAUAUAUUAUAUGUGUAUAUAUAUAAAUAAAAUUCUUAGUUGGGGCAACUAAAAAAUAUAUUAAACUUUUUUUUUAAAAAAAAUGACCCAUUAUUAAUGAUAAUAUGAAAAAAAUACUCUAGGGAUAACAGCGUAAUAAUUUUUGAUAGAUCUUAUAGACAAAAUAGUUUGCGACCUCGAUGUUGGAUUAGGAUACUUUUUUAAUGAAGAUGUUAAAAAAAGAAGUUUGUUCAACUUUUAAAUUCCUACAUGAUCUGAGUUUAGACCGUGAAUAAAUGAGGA